This 406-nucleotide ribosomal RNA is filed under the name uncultured bacterium. RNAcentral's name for it is "partial 16S ribosomal RNA". It matches the Rfam family "Bacterial small subunit ribosomal RNA", at positions 30 to 526 of the family's 1533-position model. The record is from RNAcentral.
AUUGAACGCUGGCGGCAGGCCUAACACAUGCAAGUCGAGCGAGCGGCGGACGGGUGAGUAAUGUCUGGGAAACUGCCUGAUGGAGGGGGAUAACUACUGGAAACGGUAGCUAAUACCGCAUACCAUCAGAUGUGCCCAGAUGGGAUUAGCUAGUAGGUGGGGUAACGGCUCACCUAGGCGACGAUCCCUAGCUGGUCUGAGAGGAUGACCAGCCACACUGGAACUGAGACACGGUCCAGACUCCUACGGGAGGCAGCAGUGGGGAAUAUUGCGCAAUGGGCGCAAGCCUGAUGCAGCAAUGCCGCGUGUGUGAUGAAGGCCUUCGGAUUGUAAAGCACUGUCAGCAGGGAAGCGUUACCCGCAGAGGAAGCACCGGCUAACUCCGUGCCAGCAGCCGCGGUAAUAC